Molecule: ribosomal RNA, 2814 nt
Filed under: Klebsiella pneumoniae
Lineage: Bacteria; Pseudomonadati; Pseudomonadota; Gammaproteobacteria; Enterobacterales; Enterobacteriaceae
Description: partial 23S ribosomal RNA
Rfam family: Bacterial large subunit ribosomal RNA
Source: RNAcentral
UUAAGCGACUAAGCGUACACGGUGGAUGCCCUGGCAGUCAGAGGCGAUGAAGGACGUGCUAAUCUGCGAAAAGCGUCGGUAAGGUGAUAUGAACCGUUAUAACCGGCGAUGUCCGAAUGGGGAAACCCAGUGCAAUUCGUUGCACUAUCGUUAACUGAAUACAUAGGUUAACGAGGCGAACCGGGGGAACUGAAACAUCUAAGUACCCCGAGGAAAAGAAAUCAACCGAGAUUCCCCCAGUAGCGGCGAGCGAACGGGGAGCAGCCCAGAGUCUGAAUCAGCUUGUGUGUUAGUGGAACGGUCUGGAAAGUCCGACGGUACAGGGUGAUAGUCCCGUACACCAAAAUGCACAGGCUGUGAACUCGAAGAGUAGGGCGGGACACGUGGUAUCCUGUCUGAAUAUGGGGGGACCAUCCUCCAAGGCUAAAUACUCCUGACUGACCGAUAGUGAACCAGUACCGUGAGGGAAAGGCGAAAAGAACCCCGGCGAGGGGAGUGAAAAAGAACCUGAAACCGUGUACGUACAAGCAGUGGGAGCACCUUCGGGUGUGACUGCGUACCUUUUGUAUAAUGGGUCAGCGACUUAUAUUCUGUAGCAAGGUUAACCGUAUAGGGGAGCCGCAGGGAAACCGAGUCUUAACUGGGCGUUAAGUUGCAGGGUAUAGACCCGAAACCCGGUGAUCUAGCCAUGGGCAGGUUGAAGGUUGGGUAACACUAACUGGAGGACCGAACCGACUAAUGUUGAAAAAUUAGCGGAUGACUUGUGGCUGGGGGUGAAAGGCCAAUCAAACCGGGAGAUAGCUGGUUCUCCCCGAAAGCUAUUUAGGUAGCGCCUCGUGAACUCAUCUUCGGGGGUAGAGCACUGUUUCGGCUAGGGGGUCAUCCCGACUUACCAACCCGAUGCAAACUACGAAUACCGAAGAAUGUUAUCACGGGAGACACACGGCGGGUGCUAACGUCCGUCGUGAAGAGGGAAACAACCCAGACCGCCAGCUAAGGUCCCAAAGUCAUGGUUAAGUGGGAAACGAUGUGGGAAGGCACAGACAGCCAGGAUGUUGGCUUAGAAGCAGCCAUCAUUUAAAGAAAGCGUAAUAGCUCACUGGUCGAGUCGGCCUGCGCGGAAGAUGUAACGGGGCUAAACCAUGCACCGAAGCUGCGGCAGCGACACUAUGUGUUGUUGGGUAGGGGAGCGUUCUGUAAGCCUGCGAAGGUGACCUGUGAGGGUUGCUGGAGGUAUCAGAAGUGCGAAUGCUGACAUAAGUAACGAUAAAGCGGGUGAAAAGCCCGCUCGCCGGAAGACCAAGGGUUCCUGUCCAACGUUAAUCGGGGCAGGGUGAGUCGACCCCUAAGGCGAGGCCGAAAGGCGUAGUCGAUGGGAAACAGGUUAAUAUUCCUGUACUUGGUGUUACUGCGAAGGGGGGACGGAGAAGGCUAUGUUAGCCGGGCGACGGUUGUCCCGGUUUAAGCAUGUAGGCUGGUUAUCCAGGCAAAUCCGGAUAAUCAAGGCUGAGGUGUGAUGACGAGGCACUACGGUGCUGAAGUAACAAAUGCCCUGCUUCCAGGAAAAGCCUCUAAGCAUCAGGUAACAUCAAAUCGUACCCCAAACCGACACAGGUGGUCAGGUAGAGAAUACCAAGGCGCUUGAGAGAACUCGGGUGAAGGAACUAGGCAAAAUGGUGCCGUAACUUCGGGAGAAGGCACGCUGGUGUGUAGGUGAAGUCCCUGCGGAUGGAGCUGAGACCAGUCGAAGAUACCAGCUGGCUGCAACUGUUUAUUAAAAACACAGCACUGUGCAAACACGAAAGUGGACGUAUACGGUGUGACGCCUGCCCGGUGCCGGAAGGUUAAUUGAUGGGGUUAUCCGUAAGGAGAAGCUCUUGAUCGAAGCCCCGGUAAACGGCGGCCGUAACUAUAACGGUCCUAAGGUAGCGAAAUUCCUUGUCGGGUAAGUUCCGACCUGCACGAAUGGCGUAAUGAUGGCCAGGCUGUCUCCACCCGAGACUCAGUGAAAUUGAACUCGCUGUGAAGAUGCAGUGUACCCGCGGCAAGACGGAAAGACCCCGUGAACCUUUACUAUAGCUUGACACUGAACAUUGAGCCUUGAUGUGUAGGAUAGGUGGGAGGCUUUGAAGCGUGGACGCCAGUCUGCGUGGAGCCAACCUUGAAAUACCACCCUUUAAUGUUUGAUGUUCUAACGUUGGCCCCUGACCGGGGUUGCGGACAGUGUCUGGUGGGUAGUUUGACUGGGGCGGUCUCCUCCCAAAGCGUAACGGAGGAGCACGAAGGUUAGCUAAUCCUGGUCGGACAUCAGGAGGUUAGUGCAAUGGCAUAAGCUAGCUUGACUGCGAGCGUGACGGCGCGAGCAGGUGCGAAAGCAGGUCAUAGUGAUCCGGUGGUUCUGAAUGGAAGGGCCAUCGCUCAACGGAUAAAAGGUACUCCGGGGAUAACAGGCUGAUACCGCCCAAGAGUUCAUAUCGACGGCGGUGUUUGGCACCUCGAUGUCGGCUCAUCACAUCCUGGGGCUGAAGUAGGUCCCAAGGGUAUGGCUGUUCGCCAUUUAAAGUGGUACGCGAGCUGGGUUUAGAACGUCGUGAGACAGUUCGGUCCCUAUCUGCCGUGGGCGCUGGAGAAUUGAGGGGGGCUGCUCCUAGUACGAGAGGACCGGAGUGGACGCAUCACUGGUGUUCGGGUUGUCAUGCCAAUGGCACUGCCCGGUAGCUAAAUGCGGAAGAGAUAAGUGCUGAAAGCAUCUAAGCACGAAACUUGCCCCGAGAUGAGUUCUCCCUGAGACUUUAAGUCUCCUGAAGGAACGUU